RNAcentral lists this ribosomal RNA (277 nucleotides) under uncultured bacterium. Its description in RNAcentral is "partial 16S ribosomal RNA". It matches the Rfam family "Bacterial small subunit ribosomal RNA", at positions 777 to 1058 of the family's 1533-position model. The record is from RNAcentral.
UUUAGAUACCCGGGUAGUCCACGCCGUAAACGAUCAUCACUCGCUGUUGGCGAUAUACUGUCAGCGGCCAAGCGAAAGUAUUAAGUGAUGCACCUGGGGAGUACGCCGGCAACGGUGAAACUCAAAGGAAUUGACGGGGGCCCGCACAAGCGGUGGAGCAUGUGGUUUAAUUCGAUGAUACGCGAGGAACCUUACCAGGGCUUAAAUGUAGUUUGACCGGCUUGGAACAGGCCUUCUCUUCGGAGCAGAUUACAAGGUGCUGCAUGGCCGCCGUCAG